Molecule: ribosomal RNA, 450 nt
Filed under: uncultured bacterium
Lineage: Bacteria
Description: partial 16S ribosomal RNA
Rfam family: Bacterial small subunit ribosomal RNA
Source: RNAcentral
GUGGGGAAUAUUGGACAAUGGGCGCAAGCCUGAUCCAGCAAUGCCGCGUGCAGGAAGAAGGCCUUCGGGUUGUAAACUGCUUUUGUACGGAACGAAACGGUCCUGGUUAAUACCUGGGGCUAAUGACGGUACCGUAAGAAUAAGCACCGGCUAACUACGUGCCAGCAGCCGCGGUAAUACGUAGGGUGCGAGCGUUAAUCGGAAUUACUGGGCGUAAAGCGUGCGCAGGCGGUGCUGUAAGACAGGCGUGAAAUCCCCGGGCUCAACCUGGGAACUGCAUUGGUGACUGCAAGGCUGGAGUGCGGCAGAGGGGGAUGGAAUUCCGCGUGUAGCAGUGAAAUGCGUAGAUAUGCGGAGGAACACCGAUGGCGAAGGCAAUCCCCUGGGCCUGCACUGACGCUCAUGCACGAAAGCGUGGGGAGCAAACAGGAUUAGAAACCCCGGUAGUCC